This 881-nucleotide ribosomal RNA is filed under the name uncultured fungus. RNAcentral describes it as "eukaryotic LSU rRNA". The stretch from base 433 to 586 matches the Rfam family "5.8S ribosomal RNA". The record is from RNAcentral. Lineage: Eukaryota; Fungi.
UUCUUGGUCAUUUAGAGGAAGUAAAAGUCGUAACAAGGUUUCCGUAGGUGAACCUGCGGAAGGAUCAUUAAAGAAAUUUAAUAAUUUUGAAAAUGGAUUUUUUUGUUUUGGCAAGAGCAUGAGAGCUUUUACUGGGCAAGAAGACAAGAGAUGGAGAGUCCAGCCGGGCCUGCGCUUAAGUGCGCGGUCUUGCUAGGCUUGUAAGUUUCUUUCUUGCUAUUCCAAACGGUGAGAGAUUUCUGUGCUUUUGUUAUAGGACAAUUAAAACCGUUUCAAUACAACACACUGUGGAGUUUUCAUAUCUUUGCAACUUUUUCUUUGGGCAUUCGAGCAAUCGGGGCCCAGAGGUAACAAACACAAACAAUUUUAUCUAUUCAUUAAAUUUUUGUCAAAAACAAGAAUUUUCGUAACUGGAAAUUUUAAAAUAUUAAAAACUUUCAACAACGGAUCUCUUGGUUCUCGCAUCGAUGAAGAACGCAGCGAAAUGCGAUACGUAAUGUGAAUUGCAGAAUUCCGUGAAUCAUCGAAUCUUUGAACGCACAUUGCGCCCCUUGGUAUUCCAGGGGGCAUGCCUGUUUGAGCGUCAUUUCCUUCUCAAACAUUCUGUUUGGUAGUGAGUGAUACUCUUUGGAGUUAACUUGAAAUUGCUGGCCUUUUCAUUGGAUGUUUUUUUUCCAAAGAGAGGUUUCUCUGCGUGCUUGAGGUAUAAUGCAAGUACGGUCGUUUUAGGUUUUACCAACUGCGGCUAAUCUUUUUUUAUACUGAGCGUAUUGGAACGUUAUCGAUAAGAAGAGAGCGUCUAGGCGAACAAUGUUCUUAAAGUUUACCUCAAAUCAGGUAGGAGUACCCGCUGAACUUAAGCAUAUCAAUAAGCGGAGGAA